Anas platyrhynchos (mallard) is the source of this 3001-nucleotide long non-coding RNA. RefSeq lists it as uncharacterized. The record is from RefSeq and is a predicted model, not a curated record. NCBI's taxonomy places the organism in Eukaryota, Metazoa, Chordata, Aves, Anseriformes, Anatidae.
UGACAACGAAAAUUCAUCACGCGGCGUAUAAAUAUUAUAUUUGAUUUAUUUUUUGCAAAUAGUGAGGGUGUUACCAUCUGUAAUGAAUACAGCAGUAUGUCACUGGUAAAAUAUUAAUCAGGAUGUACAUAAGUACUGUGGGAGAACUGAGCAUUUGAUACCCAGCACGGGAAAUGCACCCAAAACAUCACACAGGACAGCAUUUCUUAGCCAUCUUCCUAUCAUUUCCACUAGAAAUCACACUGCUAUUCCUACCAGCUGUUCUAUCAACAGUGGUAUUUUAUUUCCCUGCUGUUUAAGCCAGGAAGCUGAUGGUACUGUUGUCGUUUGGCCCUGCUUGCCUUCACAGCUUCUUUAAUUCCCAUCCUGAAGCCUGUGAGAUGCCCCGUUGCUGCUGGUGGCUAUCAGUCAUUGUGCCUUUGGAGGCUGUCUGUCAGGGAAGAAACCUUUUGAUCAAAAUCCGAUCUAAAGACUUAGGGGGGAAAACCUCAGUGCCACCAGCAGAUGAAAUUGCUCAGAGCACAAAACUCUGGGGACGAGCACCGGGGAGCUGCGGGUGCUUCAAGGGCUGGUUGCUGCCUUUGGUGCGCCGUGUCCCUAAAGGCUGUCACCCACCUGUGGUCCUGUCCUGGCCAAGCUGCUGUUGUCACCUGGAGAAGGGGUCCCAAAGUGUUACUGCUGCUGCUUGGGAGGGAAGAGACGAUAGAUCUUGGUGAAAGGGGUCUGCCUUGAUGGGAGAAGUCCGAGCAGAAAGCUGGUCGUGGAGUUUAUCCGCUGAGGAGGACGGAGGCCUUCGUGUCUCCUUCAGGGGACGGUAGAGGCCUUUUCUUCAGGGUUUCUGCUGACACCAUUGGUGGGGGAAAACCCAAACUUCUUGCGUUUUCUGGCCUGGCAAGAGAGCUGCUGUUCUUCCUUCUCUCAGCUACCUUGUGAUUCUUCACAUGUGUGGGUUUGUCCUGGGCUCCUUAUUGAACGCUUCAUGAUUGCCUUGGAAGCCCAAGCUUCUCAGAGGCAGAGCGGCCUCGAUCCCAAGGCUGAGGUGAAAUCCUUUGGGAAGAGUUACCAGGAAAGAUUACUUGCUCUCUGAUGCCUGGAGUUAUUCCCGUGUCUAUUCACUGAAAAUGAGUGCCAGUUAGAUAGGUUCAUUCUUCUCAAUAUGGGUAAAAGUCAACAAGUUAGCCUGUAAGAGGCUAUCAGCAAGUACUGUGUCCAUAUCAGAUGCUUUCUGCCCAAAUCUGCAUCCUACAUGGUGUGAAACCUCUCAUUCCCACCAAUGUGCUAAUUUUGAGUAAUUUUAUUGGGCUAGGCAGAGAUGUGCUAACAAUAACUCUGUGCAGGGUUUUAUGCGGGAGGGUGGGCAUGUCUGCUGGGUUAAAAUGGGACGUGCACGAGAAAAAUGAUCAUUAUCCAAAUUGAUGUUUGCCUGGGACAGCUGAGCAACAACCCCAGUUGUUUUUUAAUCCAGUGAAACACAGCUAUUGCAUAUCCCAGCCGCCACCUCUGCGGGGUCUGGUGUCAGGGCGUGCAUUUUCUGUUCCUUUACAUGCCUACAGUUAUUGUUCCCUUUUUUUUGGUCUUAUUUCAACAUCAUCUUAGGAGGGUAGAAAAUUGCGUGUUCACUUGAAAUACCAUCUGCUAUACUGUAGUGAUAAAAACGUUCAUGGUAAAAGUGCUUCCAUGCUUAAUUAUUUUAGAUCUCUGUACGUGUAUAUGAGGUCAGUUCGAGUAGGGGCUGGUGGGGCUGGCAGCUCUGGAAUAACACUCACCAGAGGGGAAAAGUUCUUCAAGAGAAUGGGCUGGAGAGGAGGCUGCAGGAUGCUACAUGGCUGAAGGACAUUUCAAGUAGCCGUAGGUUUCGUGCUUCACUGCCUCGAGCAGCGGUUUAUUGCUUGUAUGUUAAUAAGAACAAUACGCUUUCAUCACUCUGCAUUUCUUUAUUAUUUAUUCUUUUUUCAGUUUCUCCAGUUGCAGAGCUCAGUGUUUGUAUGAAGUUCAAGCCUUUCGUAUUCUGUUUUCGUUACUAUUUUAAUUGCUGAAGAGGUGUUCAGGAGGCAGUGUUUUUGCUGGGAGCUACGGGAUAUGAAGGUGAGGGAUUCUUGCAGCGCGAGCAGUUUCCUACCAAUUGGGCUGUCCUUUGAACAACGUGGCCUGAGCGAGGAUUCUCAUCUGCACCUGCAAACUGCAAACAUUUUAGCACUCCUGCUGCUGGGCAUUAACGAGCACACCUCCUGAAGGCAGGCAGAAACAGAAGGGCUCUAAUACAGUUUAUUUAAUCAGGAGUAUUUUCUCUAACUCAGGUGUGAGACAGAGAUGAAAGAUCACUUCCUAAUGAGAGCGGUCCUAGACUCAUUUCAUUUGAGGCUGUAAAGUGCCAACAUACUGCAGCCGUGCCAUUUAAUUAAAAAGGGCUUACUUUACGUUUAAUGGUUUACUUGACCUUUUGCAUCGCAUCGUUUAUUUAUCUCCUUAUCUAUAGACAAGUGGUAAAUUAAAAGAAGUAGGCAAACUUGCGUCAUUGAUGUGGUAAGCUCUGUAUUGCUCAAAUUAGAAGCAAGCCUCUCUCGGUUUUUCCUCAGUUCUGGUGUGGGUACUUUCUGAUUUUAUCUCUAGAGAUCCACGUGCUCAGUCCCAGCUGUGGAGGUGGUGGCCGCAGUCUCAUGUUUAGAGCAGACAGCCACUGAGCCCCAUGGGGCAGAAGUUGCCAGGUGAGACCCUCCAAGGACUUGAGCUCCAGCCUGAGCAACCUGCCCGGCUCCCUGGGGGCUCUCCUCGGGUAGAAGGAUUGCUUACAGCUUACUGAGAAGGCUCUCAAACUCAUCCCAAUUCAUCCCUAGAGGUGCUCUGUCUUAAGGGCAAGAUGAAGGGAGUGACAUCCUUAAAGGAAAAACCUUUAAUAUUCUGCUUUUUUUUUUAGUUUUGUAUUUGUCAUUAUGGAUAAUGAUGGAUACUUCUAUGCAGUAACUUCUAAAAUGCAUUUAAUAAAUACGUGGACUAAGCCCGA